GAUGAACGCUGGCGGCGUGCCUAAUACAUGCAAGUCGAGCGAACAGAUGAGGAGCUUGCUCCUCUGACGUUAGCGGCGGACGGGUGAGUAACACGUGGAUAACCUACCUAUAAGACUGGGAUAACUUCGGGAAACCGGAGCUAAUACCGGAUAAUAUAUUGAACCGCAUGGUUCAAUAGUGAAAGACGGUUUUGCUGUCACUUAUAGAUGGAUCCGCGCCGCAUUAGCUAGUUGGUAAGGUAACGGCUUACCAAGGCAACGAUGCGUAGCCGACCUGAGAGGGUGAUCGGCCACCCUGGAACUGAGACACGGUCCAGACUCCUACGGGAGGCAGCAGUAGGGAAUCUUCCGCAAUGGGCGGAAGCCUGACGGAACAACGCCGCGUGAGUGAUGAAGGUCUUCGGAGCGUAAAACUCUGUUAUUAGGGAAGAACAAAUGUGUAAGUAACUAUGCACGUCUUGACGGUAACUAAUCAGAAAGCCACGGCUAACUACGUG
RNAcentral lists this ribosomal RNA (497 nucleotides) under uncultured bacterium. Its description in RNAcentral is "partial 16S ribosomal RNA". It matches the Rfam family "Bacterial small subunit ribosomal RNA", at positions 28 to 507 of the family's 1533-position model. The record is from RNAcentral.